GAUCAACUUAUAUCAGGUUAAGGAAUUAGGAGCUCGAGGAGGUUCACACCAGGCAUUGUAAUCUCGCAGGAAAUUCCCUUCACAACUGGUUUGACAACGAAACGCAUAGCAUGUUUUAAUUUUCAACCGCUGGUUAUGGAAAAAAAACAGAGAAGGAAAGAAAGAUAUUGGACAUCGCACAAUGAGCUGUUACAUUGUGGAAACUGAAACCUGUCUUAAUGGGGCAUUCAGACUUCUAUCCAAACAGGCUACCCUCUCUCGGUUUUGAUAUGAUUUCUGCAGAAACACGUUGUCGAGAUUGUCUUCAACCAAUCCUGUCAGCAUGCAUCAAAGACAUCAGGCGUGUUCUGGGAGAAAAUUCAACAGAUCAAGAUUAUUAUUACGGCGAAUGAGGAAUGGUCUUGCAUUAGAUGAGUUCUUCGCGGGCAGUGUCGGUAGAACGAGAUGGUCAGGUUCAUCGCGGUAGAAUCUACUGCAAAAGGGUAUUCCAGCGUUCCUGAUCCAGAAAUAGCAGAGCAAUCUCAACAUGAAAUAUGUGCCAUUUAGGACUGUUAAGGAUUUCUUCCAUUGUAUAUUAUUAUGCUUCGCCACUCCAAACAGUUAGCAUUGACUAUGCUACAAGUUUUUCAACAGGCAAACUGAUCCAAUUACCGUCUCCGAGGAAUCGAUGGGUCUGGGAGAAGUGAUGUUCUCCUACAUGGAGCGUAACCUUAUCACGUAUUGGGACAGGCUUAAAUUACCACAAUUCCCUAUUCCCUUAUGCUCAAUGCUCAACCUUUCCUUUAUAUUUCCUUGUUUUAAUGGAAUGCCGCGCUUGCAUGAAUUGGUGAUAUCACCUUUGUUAAGAAUAUAGAACAUGGAAAAGUUCAGCACAGGAAAAGGACUUUCGGUCUACGAUACCUGUGCUGACCGUGAUGCCAAAUUAAACUAAUACUAUCUCACUGAACAUGAUCCAUAUCCCCCCUUUCCUUGCAUGUUCAUAUGCCUGUAUAAAUUCCUCUUUAACAAGACUCUCGUGUCUAUUUCCGCCACCUCUCUGGCAGCGCGUUCCAAGCAGCUGUAACUCACUGCGUAAAAAGUUGCCAUGCAUUUCUCUUUUAAACGUUCCCCCUCUCACCACAAUGUGUUUGAUAUUUCCACGCUGGGGAA
Molecule: long non-coding RNA, 1149 nt
Organism: Pristis pectinata (smalltooth sawfish)
Lineage: Eukaryota; Metazoa; Chordata; Chondrichthyes; Rhinopristiformes; Pristidae
Exons: 3
Source: RefSeq, a predicted model, not a curated record